Long non-coding RNA from Crotalus tigris (Tiger rattlesnake), 3563 nucleotides. RefSeq lists it as uncharacterized. NCBI's taxonomy places the organism in Eukaryota, Metazoa, Chordata, Lepidosauria, Squamata, Viperidae. The transcript has 3 exons. The record is from RefSeq and is a predicted model, not a curated record.
UGUCUCUGUGGUACAAAGUGGAUCAUUGUGAGUACAAUUGUGGGAUCCAUGUGGAUGAUUUGGUUAGAAGGUCUGGUGCUCCACUGGGAGACUCUGUGUUGGGAUGCUGACAAGUCUGGAAUAUUCUCAGGGGGCAUCCUGAGAAAUAGAAGUUAUGUAUGAUUUCUCCCUCCUAGCCUCCACUCUUCAUUUGCAAAAUCUACAUUUGCAGAGUAAGUUCUGAUCUAUCAUUUCAGUGGGCUUCAGAAUCAAGCAAAUUUGUAUCUAUGACUACAACAGGCAUUAAUUUCUUCCUGUUGCUCUUAAUGCCAAACCUCUAAUUAUUUACUUCUUGGAGUUGUUGUAAGGUUGCUUCCAACCCUCCUCAAGGUACUUUUAGCACUUUUUCUUUUUGUUAGUUGUGCACUUUGCCAUUCAAGUGAUACUUGAACUAAAGUUGUGAAGAUAUUUUAAACAUAAAAUGAGCAAAGCUCUGAUUAAAGCAUUAUACAAAUUAUGCUAGUGAAAAGAAACAAUUCAUGCAGGAUCCAAUCUGGGUCAGUCAUUAGGAUCAAAGUUUUAGUCUUCUGAGCUUUCAGCCCAUCCUCAGGGAAUUUCUCUCUCACCAGAAUAUGUGCUUUGGGAGAUUCUAUCCAUAGUAUUUAUGUGCUGCCUGGUUGUGUAUGGCUUUUUAAUUGUUGAUUGGGGAGUUGAUGGCCAGUUAUUACAUUGUUGGCUAUUUGCUUCCUUGUGCUACCAAAUCUUGGCUCCUAAGUAGUUGAUAAGCUGAUGGUAAAUCAGCACUCCUGUUGAUUGACCAGGGGCCUGCUUCCCAGGCUUCAAUCAUUUCGCUGGCUAUUUUUGUACCUGCCUGGCCAACAUUUUUAGUAGCUGUGAAACUGAAUGUAUGUCCUUGUUCAUUGCAAUGUGAGGCUACCAAUGAGUUCUCAUCUGACCACUCACUUGUACUUUUGCAACCUAGUGGUUAGCUUCCUCCCCAUCUGUCCUACAUAGUCACAGGGGAGCUGGUAGAUUCUAAAGUUCAGAAUCCUAAACCUCUGGUCUAGGUGACCAACCCAGAUUGGAUCCUCAGCAUUAUCCUGAGACAUAUAUAUUUGCGUUUAUUCAGAACAAUUCAUCCCUAAUGCUGCUAUAAACAAUAUCCAAUAUUUCCUAAUAGAUUAUCCUGAUGGAGUCUUCCUUCCAUUUACCUUCCAUCAAUGACAGCAUCUAUGAAUGUAUAUGUUUAUGUAUGUAUGUACUAUAUAUGAAUUUGAAUAUGUAUGUAUGUAUGUAUGAAUAACAGAAGUGUUCCCAAUUUUGACAAUGAAAAUAGGAUUAUAGAAGUACCAUAUUUUGGAAUCCCUCCUUUGGAAAAAUAAUGUAAAAUGAUUGCUCUUGGAAGAAGAAAGGCACAACAAAAUAAAUCUAGGAAAGUCAUAAUAAUGCCAACUUUCUUCAAUGUCUCUUUCAUCAGUUUUAAAACACUUGCCAAUUCUCUCUUAAAAGGCCAUGUUAACACUAGAGCUAGAAUUAAAGGAUAGAGCAUAAGCUCCUUACACAUACACACCACAUUUGUAAAUCACUGACAGAAGGAGGAGGAGGCUGACUGCUUUUGUGACCUUUCAUGCAUGAAGAAGGGACAAUUCUCCGCUCCACUUCACUAAGUCAGUAGGACAAGAAAAGGAGGUGAAGGUUGAUAGCCCAUGGCUAUCAACCAAGCUUAUGCAGCAAAGUCUUUGAUAAAGAAAUAAUGCCAUUUUAUCUAGAACCCACAAGGUUAUCCUGACAGGUAGAAAUCAAAACAAAAAAAAAUCUAGCAAAGCCAGCAUUUUUAAUGUUGUGGGUAAAAUUCCUGAGUUACUUCUUGUACAAAAUUGUGUUUCACAUAGAAUCAGGGUUGAAAGACCCCAUGAGCACAUUCAUUUUUGAUAAGCCUACAAGAUGAAGAAUAAGGUAGAUCUUCUGCCUUAAUUUUUUUUUAUAGAUUCUCCCAAAGCCUUUGACGAAUUGUUGAUGGAAAAAAUAGGCAAAAUUGCCUGGGUCUUGCCUGGCCACAGUAUUCCUCCACACUGUGUGUUUUGCUAGUUCCAUUCUUCACAAUUGUGUCUUUUAUAGGAAUUAGUAAAAGCACUAGCUCUUCAAAUAGCUAUAUAUUAAAGGAAGAGGAACUGCAGUAUUUUAAGCCUUAUUUGUUUAUUUAGGUGGUAGGUCCUGCUGUGUUUGAAAGGAAUCAUUUUAUUUAAUACAGAUUUAUCACUAGGAAGUUAGCCCUGACAAUCAUUACGAGCAGCUAGCUAUUUCUAAUUAAAAAUAAAAUUUUAAAAUUGUCCUCUUCGCCUCUCUCCCUCUUUCCAAACACACAAACACAGACCCACUUCAUAAGAAACAAGAGGCCAGAGUCAAUAAAAUCAGCACACUCUCUGAAACUGCAAUCAACAGCAGGGUUAUAAAUUAGAAAGAUUUGAUUUGAAUCUUUCCUCUGGCUAUCUUAUUUUAUACAUAAAACUAUGUCAUUAUUUGUUUCAGUUCCUCUGCAGUUAAGCACCACAAUUAUGACUCUCUUUAGUCAUCUUUAGUUUGUUUUCAGCAGCGCCCAGGAGAAAUGAGAGAAGAAUACCGUGGUUUAUCUGUCUCAAAGCAUAUUGGAAAAAAUAAAUGAUUUAUCACCAACAACAAUGCUUUCAAAUCAUAAAAUAAAUCAGAUCCAAAUAAGUUCUUCUUUCUUUCUUGGGGAUAGGCUACAUUAUUAAGAGAAGCUAAAACAACAUACUGUAACAAAUUGUGUUUGAUAUAAGCUUGGCUUAGCUAUAUAUGUCUCCACUGAUCUACCUUACAGAGCUUCUGGAAAAGAUACAAACUUGGAACUGGUUAAAGUAGAAGGUUACAUCUGAAAAUAAAUACCCAAGUGGAUCAGCAUCACAUUUUCUUUUAUCUAAAAUUUUCUGAGAAAUAUUCAGAGAGAGGUCUCCAUCUUUUUAUAAAUAGUCAUUAGUUUAUUUAAAAAUAUCUGACCCAAAGCUCUAAGUUGAGUAAGAAUACUUUAGUUAUGGGGGGAACAAAUCUAAAAUCUGGAAUGUUAUAGAGUAACCUAUCCCAAAUAGGUACUCUUAUGAGUUUUGAACUCCAAAAUGUUUUGCCAUUAGGCAAGCGGAUUUAUAGUCCAAAACAUUAGGAGGGCACUAGGGUACAAAAUAUAUUUAUAUAGAGAGUAUGAAAGGAUUGCUAAGCAGUAUCCCCAAACAAUUACAGUAUUGUUAAAGAUGGGUCUUUGGAAAGCUUCCUAAUAGGCUGGAAGCUAUCAUAAACCGUCUCUGAUGCAUCAUCAAGAAAAUGGGCAAUGAUUAAGCUUGAGCAUGGAGAUCUUCUGGUCAACAAAGAUAUAAGGAAGAGGACACUUUAUCUGAACCUAAAUUUGAGACUUUCACACCUUUCUUGACAUAAUUUCUUUUAUUUUGACACAGAAUGUGUCCUGUAUAGUGUUUGCUGUUAUAUUGGUCAAUAUAUAACAAUAGUAAUAGCACUUGUCAAUAUAUAGCAAUAGUAAUAGCACUUAGACUUAUAUACUACUCAAUAGUGCUUUA